UACGUAGGGACCAAGCGUUGUUCGGAUUUACUGGGCGUAAAGGGCGCGUAGGCGGCGUGGUAAGUCACUUGUGAAAUCUCUGAGCUUAACUCAGGACGGCCAAGUGAUACUGCUGUGCUAGAGUGCAGAAGGGGCAAUCGGAAUUCUUGGUGUAGCGGUGAAAUGCGUAGAUAUCAAGAGGAACACCUGAGGUGAAGGCGGCUUUCUGGCCUGUAACUGACGCUGAGGCGCGAAGGCUGGGGUAGCGAACAGG
RNAcentral lists this ribosomal RNA (253 nucleotides) under uncultured bacterium. Its description in RNAcentral is "partial 16S ribosomal RNA". It matches the Rfam family "Bacterial small subunit ribosomal RNA", at positions 524 to 776 of the family's 1533-position model. The record is from RNAcentral.